This is a long non-coding RNA of Equus caballus (horse), 5552 nucleotides long. Lineage: Eukaryota; Metazoa; Chordata; Mammalia; Perissodactyla; Equidae. The record is from Ensembl.
AUGAGACACGGUCUUAGCCUACUAAUAGCUCACAACAGCAUUCAGUGUUCAAUUCAAGGAACGAAAGCUAUUCUGGAUAUUUAAAGAAGAAAGGAUUUUAAUAUGGGGAUUGGAUGCUUGAAAACCAUUUCAAGGACUGGAGGCAUGGGUUGUAGGCACCAGUGGUGACUUCCAGCUGCUACCUCUGCACCAUCAGGAAGGUGGAAAUCAGGAGGCCUCAAAUCGAAUAUGGAGUUCCAGAUUCUAGAAUCUGUAACAUAUCACAUACUCUCAAUCUAGGGACCAGAGAGCCAGAACUGGGAAGCCGUUAUUGCUUCACUGAAAACUGACUCUUGACAAUCAUAGAACUGUUGACUAGUUACUGGAAUAUGAUGCAGAAAAACUUCGUGUCUCCACAACUGUGCUUGCCAGCAGGAAACAUCUAAAACAGCAAGAUUUCCUUUGUUUCAUUUCUACUUUUCAAAUCUCAUACGUGUGCGUCCACUGGUGGGACUCAAUUUGCAUUCGGAACCCUAUCUACAGGGAAGUCUGGGAAAUAGAAGAUGAGAGUGGUUAUUGGGAGAAGAACCAACAGUGUCUUCCACAGACUCAGGAACAUACAUGGGCACUGAAGGGUUAGAGGGAGCAUGCUGCACAAAGUAAAUAGGUCACAAAUAAGGGAGAUCACUUCUCCCUGGGGUUCACGGAAAGUGGCAGAGAAGAGACUCCUCCUGCUGGGUCUUGAAGAAUAUCCUGUAGAAGUUUGCCUCAAAGGGGGCUGAAGGGCAUUUGGGGCAGAGUAAGCAUUAGGAGUUAAGGCAAGCGUGUGAAAAAGUGUAGUGCACCUAGAAUCAGCCUGUGCUUUCUUUGUCCGGAACAGGAGGGAGAAAGAGGAGGGCACUGAGCAAUGAGGUCCAAGAAGUGGCAGGGCCCAGAUCAAGGCACACCUCAUACGCCAUGCUCAAGAGCUCAGAUUUCUCCUAGAAGUGAUAGGGGGACCUUCGGAAGGUUUUACACGGGGGAAUGACAAGACGAGAUGGGUUUUAGAAAGGUCACUGUGGAGGCUGUGCGGAAGAAGCACUGGAAUGGGGAGCAACUGGAAGAAAGAGAGCAGUUGGGAAGAUAUUGCAAUAUGGUAGACUAGACGUGGCUGGUACCUAAACUAGGACUAUGGAUGUUGGGAUGGGCAAGAGAGGGCUUGGAGUAUACGUGGAAGUUGAAUCAAUAGGACUUGAUUGAGCUGAAGUGGUGGGGAGCAAUUAUUGCGUGUAUGCUAUGUGCCAGGCUCUAUUCUAUACUGCAUGUAUGAACUCAUUCAAUCCUUACAAAACCCUAUGCAGUAGGUCCUAUUAUCAAUCACAUCUGCAGAUGUGGAAACUGAAGCACAGCUGGUAAGUGGUGGAGCUAGGAUUUGAAUGGAAACAAACACUCAACCACUUUGCUAUGAAACACCUCUGCUCUUAGUGAUAAAAUUUGCUUUCCUGUCCUUUAUGAAUUUGCAUUUCACUGUGAAUUCUGGUUUGGACCCUGACUCAGGAGUUCUUUUAACCUAGACAUUCAUGGAUGAAUUUCUGCAGGUCUAAGGAACCCUGAAAUUGUAAUCAAGUUUGUAUGUUUUUCAGCAUUUGUGUAUUAUUUUUCUGGAAGGAAUGGCCAGACUUAUCAAAUGAGUUACCAGGGGUUCUCAAAUGGGUUUCUGACCUAAGAAUACAUUUAAGAACUCUGCCUUAGAGGAAUGGUUCUCAAGGUGUGAUCCCUGAACCAGUAGCAUAAGCAUCUCCUGGGAACUUGCUAAGAAGGCAUAUUCCUGGCCCCUUCCAAGACCUACUGAGCCAGAAACUCUGAGGGUGGGCCCGGAAAUCUGUGUUAAUAAGCCUUCCAGGUGCUUCUGAUGUGUGCCCACGUUUGGGAAGCACUGCCUCAGAGCAAACACAAGCAUGAGUGAUGUGGCAGCAGGGGCUAUUCGCUGACCUGGGUGGGGCAUUCACAGUGGAUGUGGUGUCAAGGAGGGUAGGGAAAAUCUCAGAAGCCCAAGGUCUUCUGUGAGUGCUCUCAGGAAGGACAGAUGCUUUGAACUGAGCAGUAUUUUGGACAGGGCAUUCACUAAGGGCUUCUGCAGUCCUCAGGACAGGCAUUUCUGGAAGGUGCUGGGGUCUCGACUUGCAGCUGAGAAGAUGCAACCUGUAGACUCAUGCACCAAUCCCACAAUGCCUCGAGGCCAGUCUCCCCCUCUGUCGUAGUUUCUCCUGGGGCUGCAUUUUAGAUAUCUUGUUUCAUCCAAGUACACAGACCUCUAAUGACUUUUCCACAGAGGAUAACCUGCCUGGGCUCCCAGGGCAGUUAGCAUCCACUGACACCCUGGCUGCUCCCCACGAGCUGCCAGGGCCUCUGGUCCACACCUCACCCAGUUGACACUGCAGCCGUGCAGCCUGUGCAGGAUUCAUGCCCACAAUGCCAGUCUCUUUCUACAUCUUCCUGGGAGCGUGAAAGGGAACGAACGACCUGCGGCGCUGAGUGAUGGGAUUGGUGGGGGUUCCUGUUCCCCACUCCCCUGCUGCCCUCCCUCCAGACACCCAGGCUCAGGUCCGUCUUUCUGCAAAGUCACAAAACUGGAAAGCUCUUGGGGUAGGGAGAGAGCAUGUGCCUGCUGGUUGGCUUGGAAAGGUUCUGGGAAUUCAUUAUGAUCUAAACAACUAUUCCAGUCAUUCCUGUGACUCAGCGCCUGCCAGCAGGAUCUUCCUGUGUGCACGGGGCCGGGGGUUGCUGACUCAGUGCUGAGGAGGGCACCUUGUCAGCGCUCCUGGGCUCCCAGCUCCUCCUGCCUCCCCUUCGUCCCCAGAGGACACCAAAGGGAAGCAGGCAGUGGGGGGAGCUUCUCAGCGUGUCCAGUUUCACUUCUAAACCAGCAUCCAGCCUCCUCGAGUUACCACUCUGACCACGUACAUCUGUUAGUCUUCCGGGCACUUUGGCGAGGAAGCCAUCAGGAACAGUCACACAGGCAUCAUGCUUCACGUACCCAAUUAACACGUGUUUAGCCAGCACCUACUAUGCAUCCAGGACUGGGAUCCAGAGAGAUGUGACUGUAUCUACCCACAACUUUCAGAGGUCUGGCGGGGGAAAAGCCCUCGCAGUCCCGCAGGAAGUAAUGGAGAGAGUGCUGCAGCAGGGCUGUGGAGAGCCGGGGCCGCUGAGCAGCAAGCGAAGGGGAAACUGAGGCUUGGAGAAGUUAACUAACCUCUCUCCAAGGUCAUACAAGCGGUCGGUGAGGUAACAGGACUUCAGACCCAGAUCCCUCUGAAUUCACCGCCUGGGGCCUGUCCCCGGCACCACCUGCUGUUUCCAUUUUGAGUCCAGAUAUCAUCUGUCUUUAGUGUCUACUGUCUCAACCUCUGUAAAAUGGAACCUGAUAUUGUCAUGCAGGACUGUGAUCACUAUCUCCUGUAAUGUUAGAAUUAAAACACUUAAUCAUAACUCCAAGCAUACUUUCGUAGUCACUUAUUCAUUCAUUCAAUAAAUUUAUAUCGAAUAUUCAUCUCCUUGUGCCAGACUCAAGGCCCUGAGAACACAGCAGUCAAAAAGGCAGGCACUGGGGCCAGCCCCAUGGCCUAGUAGUUGAGAUCAGUGCACUAAGUUGUGGCAGCCCAUGUUGGUUCCGGAGUGUGGACCUACAGCACCUGUUAGCGGCCAUGCUGUGGUGAUGUGCCACAAACGAAACAGAGGAAGACUGGCAGUGGAUGUUAGCUCAGGGUGAAUCUUCCUCAAGCAAGAAAAAGAGGAAGACUGGCGACAAAUAUUAGCUCAGGGUGAAUCUUCUUCAGCAAAAAAAAAAAAAAAAAAGGUAGGCAUGGUCCCUUCUCCCCAUGGAGCUUUCAGCAUAAUGGGGAGAGAAAACCAGGAAAUAAGAGAUAGAACCAACCAGUUUAUUAACAUUGCAGUAAAUGGUAUAAUAAUGACAGCUAAGACUUCAAUUACACUUACUAUGUCCCAAGAACUAUUCUAACUAUUCUAAAUAUUCCACAUAAAUUAAUUCUGACAGGCCAAAGAGGGAAGUGGAGAAAUCAAUGAAGGCUCCUGAAGGACGUGUCAGCUCCACCUGAAAACAGGAUGAGUUGGUAAUGUUGAGGAGGGCGGGGCGGGGAAGCACAGGACAGCCUAGGACUGUGUGUCCAUGUGGCCACUCGCCACCCCAGGCUGCGGAGCGAGGAAUGCUCAUCUGAACUGAGGUGCCCUAGGAGUAAAUGCGACCGGCUUUCAGACUCGCACUGAAAAGAACGUAAAACACCUCAUCAAUGUUUUGUAUUGAUUGCAUGUUGACCUGAUGAUAUUUUGGAUAUAUUGGGUUAAAUCAAAUGUAUUAUUAAAAUCAAUUUUACCUGUUUCUUUUUACUUUUUAAAAUGUGGCCACUAGACAAUGUUGAAUCGUGUGUGUAGCUCACGUUGUACUUUGAAAGGACGGUGCUGUCCUAGAAGGGCUGGGAGCCUCAGGGAGCAGGCACAUCAGAGCCGCUGUGGGGCACGAGGGGAGGAGAGAAAGAGGAUGCCGAAGGCUGGUAUGAACCUCCAACCUCUAUUCUGCGGAUCACACAGAGUGAUUUUAACCUCUGUGAACCCCAAAUCUGAGAUGCUGGGGCGCACUGACUUACUGGAAAUUGACUCUUCCUCCAAACCAGCUCUAGCUGUGAGCCAGGGAACGGUUAAUGCUCUUCGUGAGUCCCAUAUUGUAGAUGGAAGAGGCCAGAAAAAGCAGGGCAGCGACCUGGCCACAUGGCCGAGUGGUUAAGUUCGCAUGCUCUGCUUCGGCAGCCCAGGGUUUCGCGGGUUCAGAUCCUGGGUGCAGACAUGGCACCGCUCAUCAGGCCAUGCUGAGGGGGCGUCCCACACAGCAGAGCCAGGAGGACCUACAACUAGAAUAUACCACCAUGUACUGGGGGGCUCUGGGGAGAAAAAGAAGAAAAAAGAAGAUUGGCAACAGAUGUUAGCUCAGGGCCAAUCUUUAAGAAAAAGAAAAAAGAAGCAUCGGGGCAAAAACGUAAAGAAAUAGAGGAACAUCUUAGGGUAAAAAUCAAGCCCCUAACAGUGGCCCCCCAGUCCUGUACAUGGCUCCUGCCUGCCUGCUUCCCUCUCUGAUAUCUCUUACCUGGCUCCUCCCUUACCCCAUCUCUACUCCAGUUACGGUAACCUCUUUCCUGAGGCUUGAACAUACCAGACAUGCUCCUGCCUCAAGACCUUUACACUGGCUAUUCCCCUUGCCUGAAACAUUCUUCCUCCAGCUAUCACAUGGCCAACUACCUUAACUUGUGGUUCAAAUGUCACCCUCCAAUACGGCCUACCUUAACCAUCUUAUUUAAAAUUGCAACCCCCAUUGGUACUCUCUUACCUGACUCUUGUUUUUCUCCAUAGCAUUUAUUACCUUCUAACAUACUCAAUAAUUUACUCUUUUAUUAUGUUUCCUGUCAAUCUCCCUACUAGAAAGCACACUCCCUAAAGACACUGAUCUCAGUUUUAUUUCCUGCAUUAGCCCCAACACCCAGACAGUGCCUGGCACAGAGUAGCCACUGCUCAGUUAGCACUUU